AAAGUCGUAACAAGGUUUCCGUAGGUGAACCUGCGGAAGGAUCAUUACCGAGUUAGGGCCCCGACCGCCGGGGCCCGACCUCCCAACCCUGUGUCUAUCUAAACCUGUACGUGUUGCUUCGGCCGACCGGUGGUCUCUCUCUCGUCUUUGGCGGGGGUGGUUCGCUGCCGGGGGGAAACUACAUCAGCCCCCCUGGAGAGUGUCGGCCGAUGGCCCAACCAAAAUUCUUAACCACAAACAUGAACUGAAUCUUGUCGUUUCUCCGAUACUUAUCGGGGAGUAAACAAAAACUAAAAAACUUUCAACAACGGAUCUCUUGGUUCUG
This 325-nucleotide unclassified non-coding RNA is filed under the name Ascomycota sp. Its description in RNAcentral is "partial contains small subunit ribosomal RNA, internal transcribed spacer 1, and 5.8S ribosomal RNA". The stretch from base 1 to 47 matches the Rfam family "Eukaryotic small subunit ribosomal RNA", at positions 1785 to 1831 of the family's 1831-position model. The record is from RNAcentral. Lineage: Eukaryota; Fungi; Ascomycota.